ACGGGUGAGUAACGCGUGGGAAUCUACCGUGCCCUGCGGAAUAGCUCCGGGAAACUGGAAUUAAUACCGCAUACGCCCUACGGGGGAAAGAUUUAUCGGGGUAUGAUGAGCCCGCGUUGGAUUAGCUAGUUGGUGGGGUAAAGGCCUACCAAGGCGACGAUCCAUAGCUGGUCUGAGAGGAUGAUCAGCCACAUUGGGACUGAGACACGGCCCAAACUCCUACGGGAGGCAGCAGUGGGGAAUAUUGGACAGUGGGCGCAAGCCUGAUCCAGCCAUGCCGCGUGAGUGAUGAAGGCCUUAGGGUUGUAAAGCUCUUUCACCGGAGAAGAUAAUGACGGUAUCCGGAGAAGAAGCCCCGGCUAACUUCGUGCCAGCAGCCGCGGUAAUACGAAGGGGGCUAGCGUUGUUCGGAAUUACUGGGCGUAAAGCGCACGUAGGCGGAUAUUUAAGUCAGGGGUGAAAUCCCAGAGCUCAACUCUGGAACUGCCUUUGAUACUGGGUAUCUUGAGUAUGGAAGAGGUAAGUGGAAUUCCGAGUGUAGAGGUGAAAUUCGUAGA
RNAcentral lists this ribosomal RNA (557 nucleotides) under uncultured bacterium. Its description in RNAcentral is "bacterial SSU rRNA". It matches the Rfam family "Bacterial small subunit ribosomal RNA", at positions 102 to 694 of the family's 1533-position model. The record is from RNAcentral.